GGAGGGUUAGUCUAAUUGGUAAGGCAGCGGACUUGAAAUCCGCCGGGCGCAAGCCCAUGGGGGUUCGAAUCCCUUACCCUCCG
RNAcentral lists this transfer RNA (83 nucleotides) under bacterium. Its description in RNAcentral is "tRNA-Ser". It matches the Rfam family "tRNA". Rfam says of the family: Transfer RNA (tRNA) molecules are approximately 80 nucleotides in length. Their secondary structure includes four short double-helical elements and three loops (D, anti-codon, and T loops). RNAcentral also lists the same sequence under 1 other name. The record is from RNAcentral.